GGGCCUGAAGCUUAAACCUGGUAUAAGCAUCCGACUCAUAAUCGGGAGAUAGUCGGUUCGAACCCGACCGGGCCUACCA
RNAcentral lists this transfer RNA (79 nucleotides) under Pseudoduganella armeniaca. Its description in RNAcentral is "Massilia armeniaca tRNA-Met". It matches the Rfam family "tRNA". Rfam says of the family: Transfer RNA (tRNA) molecules are approximately 80 nucleotides in length. Their secondary structure includes four short double-helical elements and three loops (D, anti-codon, and T loops). The record is from RNAcentral. Lineage: Bacteria; Pseudomonadati; Pseudomonadota; Betaproteobacteria; Burkholderiales; Oxalobacteraceae.